This is a long non-coding RNA of Zalophus californianus (California sea lion), 2054 nucleotides long. RefSeq lists it as uncharacterized. NCBI's taxonomy places the organism in Eukaryota, Metazoa, Chordata, Mammalia, Carnivora, Otariidae. The transcript is spliced from 3 exons. The record is from RefSeq and is a predicted model, not a curated record.
ACCUCCCCUUCCUCAGCUACGGCCUGUCCUCAGUCCUGGAUGCCAGGCCAUGCCUUGGGGACCCAGUUUGUCCCAGAUCUCAAAGGAAAAUGUAAAUGAGAGGCACAGAGAUGCAAGAGAAACAGAGAAAGGAACAGAGGCACACAGAGUGACAGCGAGAUGGAAAGUCAGAGAGGCAGAGCGAGAAAGGUCUUAAGAAGAGAGCAACUGCCGUGAUUAAUCCGAAAUGCCCAUUUGCCACGUCAGAAGAGAAAGCCAUGGUGGGGAGUUCUGGGCUCUGCUGCCCUGGCGAGAACCCUCUGGAACAGGAUGAUAAGAAUAUAAUUUACAGAUAGAAUAAGAAGAGAAACUGGAUUCAUAGAUAAUGUCUCCACUGUUGCCUAAAAGGUGCCAAUACUGCUUUCACAAAGAUAUGGAAACAUGCUUCCCCCUCUAAAUCCCCUCUGAUUGCCAAUGAGCAAGCCAGGUACAACUGUUACUGAAGGUUCCUGUGAAGCCAAGUUUGAAAACUCGUUUCACCCACUGAAGAAGAGGAAAGUAGGAAGAUGGUGUUGACUACACACCAUGCACCAACCUUGGGGCUAUGAGUGGUAAAAACAUGACCGCCUUGUACACUUAUGAUGAGUACUGAGUAAUGAAUAGAAUUGUUGAAUCAUAUAUUGUAUAUCUGAAAUUAAUAUAACACUGUGUGUUAACUAUACUGGAAUUUAAGAAAAAUAAUAAAGUCAACUGAUUAUAAAUUUUUUUAAAAAAUGGCGCCCCUAAUCCCCAAGAUCAUCUUCUGAGGACAGUGUUACUGCCCUGAUUUUAGAGACUGGGAAAUUGAUGCUGAGGGCUGCUUAGUUAAUUGCCACAAGUCACUCAGCUGGUAAGAGGUAAGUGAGACUUGAGCCCUGCUCUCCUGGUUCUUGUAGCUCAUGGUCGCUCAUGUGAGGUCUGCUUGAUGUGAGGGCUAGAGUGUCUUGGGGGUAAUGCUCUCCUCCAACAUUAAAGCCUAUGAUGAGGGGCGCCUGGGUGGCUCAGUUGGUUAAGUGACUGCCUUCGGCUCAGAUCAUGAUCCUGGAGUCCUGGGAUCGAGUCCUGCAUCGGGCUCCCUGCUCAGCAGGGAGUCUGCUUCUCCCUCUGACCUUCCCCCCUCUCGUGUACUCUCUCUCAUUCUCUCUCUCAAAUAAAUAAAUAAAAUCUUAAAAAAAAAAAAAAUAAAGCCUAUGAUGAAUGUGCAGUGUGGACAGCCAGGAGCAGGGGCUGCUAGAAGCCUGGCUGACCCCUACAGGCCUGGGAAUGUCUAGGGAGCUCAGCACUGCUCUACAGGAAGAGGGAAGUCUGUGAGCUUCGAGAUUCAGCCCAGGUAGCAGCUCUGAGAAGACUUCCCGGGAAUCACAGGUGGACCCAGAGCCCAAUUCCAGGCCCCAGUGGUUGUCUUAGCAUUUGCUGCCUCAUUCUGGAAUUUUCUUCAUUUCUGUCUUUCACUUGAGACCCCAAGCCCCUUGAAGUCAAAGCCAUGACUCAUUCAUUCUCAUUCCCCACUCUGACCUGGCCAAAGGUUGGCAUGAGGAAGGAUCUUACUAAAUGACCACUGAGCUGAACUGAACCGAAGGGCCCAGAGCGGGAGCACAGAGCUGCUAUCGUGGAGAGACAAAUGACUGCCCAAGGCAGGGAACCGUGGCGACGAACGAGAGCAAGGAAGAUGAAGGCCCGGUGGCGUUCCACUUUUUGACUGUUAUGAAUUAAACUGUUAUGAACAUUUGCUCACAAGUCUUCGUGUACACAUGUGUUUUCAUUCUCUUUGGGUAAAUACCCAGGAGUAGAAUUGCUAUGUCAUUGGGAAAAUAUAUGUUUAACUUUACGAGAAACCAGGAAACAGCUUUCCAAGUUGUUGGUGCCAUCGGACAUUGCCACCAGUGAUGUAUGAGCAUUCUAUCCUAGUGGGUGUGUAAGAAUACAGCCUUAUAGUUUUGACUGGCAUUUCCCUGAUGACUCAUGGUAUCAGUUAUUUUUUCAUGUGCUUAUUGGCCAUCUGUAUGUCUUUUUUUAUAAGGAGUCUAGAUCCUUUG